Molecule: ribosomal RNA, 466 nt
Filed under: uncultured bacterium
Lineage: Bacteria
Description: partial 16S ribosomal RNA
Rfam family: Bacterial small subunit ribosomal RNA
Source: RNAcentral
GACGAACGCUGGCGGCGCGCCUAACACAUGCAAGUCGAACGAGCGAGAGAGAGCUUGCUUUCUCAAGCGAGUGGCGAACGGGUGAGUAACGCGUGAGGAACCUGCCUCAAAGAGGGGGACAACAGUUGGAAACGACUGCUAAUACCGCAUAAGCCCACGACCCGGCAUCGGGUAGAGGGAAAAGGAGCAAUUCGCUUUGAGAUGGCCUCGCGUCCGAUUAGCUAGUUGGUGAGGUAACGGCCCACCAAGGCGACGAUCGGUAGCCGGACGGAGAGGUUGACCGGCCACAUUGGGAAUGAGACACGGCCCAGACUCCUACGGGAGGCAGCAGUGGGGAAUAUUGCACAAUGGGGGAAACCCUGAUGCAGCGACGCCGCGUGGAGGAAGAAGGUCUUCGGAUUGUAAACUCCUGUUGUUGAGGAAGAUAAUGACGGUACUCAACAAGGAAGUGACGGCUAACUACGUG